Molecule: ribosomal RNA, 269 nt
Filed under: uncultured Pseudomonas sp.
Lineage: Bacteria; Pseudomonadati; Pseudomonadota; Gammaproteobacteria; Pseudomonadales; Pseudomonadaceae
Description: partial 16S ribosomal RNA
Rfam family: Bacterial small subunit ribosomal RNA
Source: RNAcentral
GUUACCAGCACGUUAUGGUGGGCACUCUAAGGAGACUGCCGGUGACAAACCGGAGGAAGGUGGGGAUGACGUCAAGUCAUCAUGGCCCUUACGGCCUGGGCUACACACGUGCUACAAUGGUCGGUACAAAGGGUUGCCAAGCCGCGAGGUGGAGCUAAUCCCAUAAAACCGAUCGUAGUCCGGAUCGCAGUCUGCAACUCGACUGCGUGAAGUCGGAAUCGCUAGUAAUCGUGAAUCAGAAUGUCACGGUGAAUACGUUCCCGGGCCUU